UAGGGAAUCUUCCGCAAUGGGCGAAAGCUUGACGGAGCAACGCCGCGUGAGUGAUGAAGGUCUUCGGAUCGUAAAACUCUGUUAUUAGGGAAGAACAAAUGUGUAAGUAACUAUGCACGUCUUGACGGUACCUAAUCAGAAAGCCACGGCUAACUACGUGCCAGCAGCCGCGGUAAUACGUAGGUGGCAAGCGUUAUCCGGAAUUAUUGGGCGUAAAGCGCGCGUAGGCGGUUUUUUAAGUCUGAUGUGAAAGCCCACGGCUCAACCGUGGAGGGUCAUUGGAAACUGGAAAACUUGAGUGCAGAAGAGGAAAGUGGAAUGCCAUGUGUAGCGGUGAAAUGCGCAGAGAUAUGGAGGAACACCAGUGGCGAAGGCGACUUUCUGGUCUGUAACUGACGCUGAUGUGCGAAAGCGUGGGGAUCAAACAGG
This 429-nucleotide ribosomal RNA is filed under the name Actinomycetes bacterium. Its description in RNAcentral is "Actinobacteria bacterium partial 16S ribosomal RNA". It matches the Rfam family "Bacterial small subunit ribosomal RNA", at positions 355 to 776 of the family's 1533-position model. Lineage: Bacteria; Bacillati; Actinomycetota; Actinomycetes. The record is from RNAcentral.